This is a long non-coding RNA of Rhinolophus ferrumequinum (greater horseshoe bat), 3061 nucleotides long. RefSeq lists it as uncharacterized. The transcript is spliced from 3 exons. The record is from RefSeq and is a predicted model, not a curated record. NCBI's taxonomy places the organism in Eukaryota, Metazoa, Chordata, Mammalia, Chiroptera, Rhinolophidae.
UGCUAAACAGAUUUAACAGGAUUCUUGCACUUGGCAGGCCAGGUUGAUCAGACAGAUAUCAAGGUGUGGGGACGCGGGUGGGGGUCCUCUCUAAACUGACUUAGCAGGAUUCUUGCUAAAACUGGGCUGCGUAGGCUUAGGACAAGAGUGUACACGUGCGCCCAAGACAGAGGCCUGGUGGAGAAGAGGGCUCGCAGGAGCCGGUCUAAAAUUUGGUGGAGGAGCGAGUUUUGUCAAACUUUUCAGAUUAUCCCUGAGACUUGAGUACCUGUGGGAAGGAUCACUCUGCCAAGUUUUUGUGGCCAUUUCUACGGUGUUUAGACAUGAAUUUUACUUCUCCCUGCCACUGGAGAGGCUGCUGUAGAGCUCUUCAUAGGUAGAGUAUGACAGACAUCUUUGAAGUGUAAUUACGGCUGACAACCAAGACCUGAGAAGGUCUCCUCCUCGAUGGAUGGAGAACGUUCAAUAUGGGAGAGAGGAGAUGACAGUAUGACCUCAACUUUAGAUAUGUGCCAGUAAAGCCUCAAGAUAUUCCUGGGAGAUCUUGAUAAAAUGAUGGAAACCAAGGGCUUCCUCCUGCUCAGCUUCUACAAAGAGGGGUCCAUGUCUUGAGAUGCUUCUUCAGGAGACUGAGGUUGGUCCCAGGAGUCACAGCCAGUGUGCAGGGGCCGCUGAAGAUCCUGUGAUGAAAAGGGAUUCUGGACUGGCCUCCUUGCUGAAGGAAGAUCCUACACAUGUCCUUCUCCUACAUUCCUAAAGAAAUCAAUACACACCCAAAGCAUCGCAAUGCUUGUUUGGGAUUAAGAUGUUGCCUUUUAGCCUUUUCUAUUCAAUUUAUUUAAACACUUAGGCUGUGGUUUUUUUCUCUUUCAUUUUCUAGACCUGUCACCUAGAGAAUUGUCUCAGUUGGAAGAUGGCUGUAAUCUGUAGGCUGUAUCAGAGUCCCGAUGUCUGCUUGAGGAUGGCAUUUGACAGGGGAAAACUACAUAAUCAUUGAGAGUGGGCAGGCAGUAGGGUGGGAAGGGGGAGAAAAAUCAUAAGCUUUUGUGUGUUUGUUUUUCUUCUUCUGGUUACCAGAAUGUUGCAGGUAUGGGUACGGGGAAGACACUAUGGCAACAGCCAGCAGAAACACUGGAUAUAUUUCCUCCUGUAUGUCGCCAUCAGGCUGACUUCUACAGCUGGUUGAGACCUGGAAGAAAGGCAGCAGAUAACACAGGAAAAUGACUCUUCUGUUAAGGGCACAGUUGAACGUUGUUUAAGAUGGAGUUAAUAUCUUAUGUGAUUUGAUUUUGGUUAAUCAAAUUAAGUGUUAUUUUGUGAAUAAACUAAUUAAACAUUGUAAUAAAAAUAGAAGUAAAAAACAGAUCUUAUAAUCAGUGGAGAGAAUAUUAUGUUGUUUGAUAAACUGGAUGGAAUGAACUUGUGUAUAUUUACGUGGUAAGGUUUUGUUGAAAUCUUUAGAUUUAAAAGCCAGAUGUAUUAGUUUGGGUUCUCCAGAGAAACAGAAUCAAUAGAAUAAAUUAUACCUAUAAAUUAUACAUAUACAUAUAUGUAUAGAUAGAUAGAUAGAGAAUAAGGGAUUCGCUCACAUCGUAAUGGAGGCUGAGGAGUCACAUGUUCUGCUGCCAGCAAGCUGGAGACCCAGGAGCGCCAAUGCCAUCGUUCCAGUCUGAGUCUAGGGUCCUGAGACCCAGAGAAGCCAACAGUGGAAGUUCCAGCCUGAGAACCUGGAGAGCCGAUGAUUUAAGUUCCAGGUCUGAGUCUGCGUCCGAAGGCAAGAAGAGGUCAGUAUCCCGGCUCCAACAUCCGGCAGAGACAGAGCAAGUCUUCCCUUCAUCUGGGAGCCCCAAGUAUUGGAGGAGGCCCACCCACACUGGCGAGAACACACUGCUUUACUCAGCUGACCAAUGUGAAUCUCAUGCAGAAACACCCUCACAGACAUACCCGGGAUAGCGUUUAACCAAUAUCUCAGCACUUUGUGGUCCAGUCAAGUUAAAACAUAAAUUAACCAUCAGUGGUCUACCCCUGUCGCCUGGGCACCCAGACACAACUCUUUCAACCAUACUUAGUCUCCACAUAAGUCUGUGAUAUUCCAGAGCCCCUCAAGCUUGAAUAAUUAUUAUACAAAUAAAACUACAAGUUCAUUUGCCCUAAAUUGUAAGCUUCUUGAAGGCAGAGGCCAUUUCUUAGUCAUCUUUGUACCCAGGGGCCAAGGACAGAGUCUGGAAUAUUGUAGGCCCACAGCCACAAUUGUAAAUACUGAGAGAGUUCAAGGCUUUGAAGUUCAACAUACUCUAGCACUUUCUGAUCUUUUCAUGCCAGCUUUUCUAAAAUUACAAAAAUCUAGGAACAAGGUCACUGAGAUUUAACUGACAUUAAUUGUAUUCAGUGGGUUCAAGCUCAGAUUUAUCUUUAGCUUAUUUUUGAAAAGGCCCAGGAGCUAAUUAUCUCUAAUAUUUAUCUCUAGAUUUAAAGUCCUACCUUCGUAGUGAGCCAACUGUGCAAUGGGAAGAAUUCCUAUCUGCUUCUGAAAUCUGUUUUCUCUUAGUUACUUCUUUAUCAGCUAACCCUUGAGCUAUUAAAUAUGCUGCUUAGUCAAAACUGUCAAGCUGUCUUCGCGAAGCUCGUGGGAUUAUGGUUGCACACUUUUAUAGACAGGGGAUUUACCUCUGCGGGAGAGAGAAAAUGACAAGGCACACGACCAGGGUAACCUCACAGUGGGAAAAUGUGAACAGUUGUCAGCCGUAAAAAGAAAUAUUCUUGUCACAUGAGAAAAACACCUAAAGCACUGAAUUAUUUUGAGGCAAGUGCGUGGCCCUUCCUACCUGCCCCAGAGUACUCAACACUCAGUAAUUAUACAUGGCUGAGAGAGCACUUUAAAAAAUGUGUCCCAGAUGUGACUUCGCUCAGUGGGGUUCGCCUUCCUUUCAUCUCUUUAGUGAGUGAUUUUGCUUCUUAUAAAACCCCUUAGUGGUUGGAAUCCUUUUUUUUUCAUUCACUGAGGAAAUGUUUAUAGCGCACUUGUGGUCUCUGCCUUCUCCUGGAUAGCGGAGAACAGACU